This 388-nucleotide ribosomal RNA is filed under the name uncultured bacterium. RNAcentral's name for it is "bacterial SSU rRNA". It matches the Rfam family "Bacterial small subunit ribosomal RNA", at positions 30 to 424 of the family's 1533-position model. The record is from RNAcentral.
AUUGAACGCUGGCGGCAUGCCUAACACAUGCAAGUCGAACGGAGAUAGGGGCAACCUUAUUUCAGUGGCGGACGGGUGAGGAAUGCGUCGGAAUCUGCCCUAUGGUGGGGGAUAACACAGGGAAACUUGUGCUAAUACCGCAUAAUGUCGAGAGACCAAAGCAGGGGACCGCAAGGCCUUGCGCGAUAGGAUGAGCCGACGCCCGAUUAGCUUGUUGGUAGGGUAAUGGCCUACCAAGGCGACGAUCGGUAGCUGGUCUGAGAGGAUGAUCAGCCACACUGGGACUGAGACACGGCCCAGACUCCUACGGGAGGCAGCAGUGGGGAAUAUUGGACAAUGGGCGCAAGCCUGAUCCAGCCAUGCCGCGUGAGUGAAGAAGGCCUCGGUU